AUGGAGUCAACUACGAAACUUAAAGAUAUUACAGUGGGAUAGCAAAAUUGUAAGGUCUUUGCACAGGUAAUAAGGCUUUGGGAUGCUAUAAAUACGAAUCCUAGAUAUGGAAAUGCUUUGAUCAACAUUGAUGGCAUUCUCUUGGAUGAAGAUGGAUCCAUGGCACAAAUCAGUGUGCCUAAAAAAUUUGAAAAACAAUUUCGUGGGUUGCUAUCUCAAGGAUCUGUCUAUAUUAUUUCAAAUGUUGCAGUUAUCGAUAUCAAAAGCAAAUCAUAUGUCUAUCGCCAUCAGAAUUAUAUGCUGCAAUUCAAACAAGACACAAAGGUUCAUCCGCUACAUUCAAGAGGUGCAGAUAUACCUACACUUUCGUUCGACUUUUGCCCAUUUGAUCAGCUGCCACAAAAAGCAAUUGAUUCCAAGCCACUCCUAGAUGUGAUAGGAGUAAUAUGUGAUGUUGGUCCAUAUGACUAUGCUAGCCAAACAUCUCAGCACAAAUUUCGGAAGAUCAAAAUUCGCAACCUAGAAGAACAAACACAAGAAUUAGUUCUAUGGGGCCAGCAUGGAGAAUCAUUUGAUGAAGAAACAGUACUUAAAAAAUAUCAAGAAGGAAUUGUCAUAGCCAUUUUUGCUGGUGUAACUGCAACUAAGUUUAUAGGUAUGAUACAAGGAUCCUCAAGUUCUGCGACACAAAUAUAUCUUGAUCUUGAUAUACCUGAAGUUCAAAAGUACCGCACCAGGUUCUCUCUUUCUCACUCUUGCGCAUGCAUAAUUUAUGUUUAG
Molecule: ribosomal RNA, 780 nt
Filed under: Triticum aestivum (bread wheat)
Lineage: Eukaryota; Viridiplantae; Streptophyta; Magnoliopsida; Poales; Poaceae
Description: partial small subunit ribosomal RNA
Source: RNAcentral